Drosophila biarmipes is the source of this 337-nucleotide long non-coding RNA. RefSeq lists it as uncharacterized. Lineage: Eukaryota; Metazoa; Arthropoda; Insecta; Diptera; Drosophilidae. The record is from RefSeq and is a predicted model, not a curated record. The transcript is spliced from 3 exons.
GUUAUUUUGUUUCGCUCGGGCGGGCAAUUUACUCCGUUCGCGGCACAAAAGAACCGAUUUGUUAAGUAAGUUAUUUUUAGAAACCUGCUGCCCCUUUUUUAGUUGAGCAUAGUAAUAGUGAUAUGGCGCUAUAUCUCCUCAUUACUAUGGAUCACUUGUAAUCCACUGCCAUCGAGGUUUUCCAUACUCCGCCAAAGGAAUACACACGAGCCCACUGCUUAUGCUAGAAAUAUGGAAAUUCGCCAUGCGAAAUUCACUCACUGUGUGGCUAAUUUACACUACAAAUAUAUGGGCAAACUUGGAAAGAAGACUUAGGAGCGAUAUCACAGGGAGUAAU